RNAcentral lists this ribosomal RNA (487 nucleotides) under uncultured bacterium. RNAcentral describes it as "partial 16S ribosomal RNA". It matches the Rfam family "Bacterial small subunit ribosomal RNA", at positions 28 to 507 of the family's 1533-position model. The record is from RNAcentral.
GAUGAACGCUAGCGAUAGGCUUAACACAUGCAAGUCGAGGGGCAGCACAAGGUAGCUUGCUAUCUGGGUGGCGACCGGCGCACGGGUGCGUAACGCGUAUGCAACUUGCCCUAUACAGGAGGAUAACCCGUCGAAAGACGGACUAAUACUGCGUAUGCUCACAACUUGGCAUCAAGUGGUGAGGAAAGAAAUUCGGUAUAGGAUAGGCAUGCGUCCCAUUAGCUUGUUGGUGAGUUAACGGCUCACCAAGGCAACGAUGGGUAGGGCAACGGAGAGGUUGAUCCCCCAGAGGGUUACUGGGACACGGACCAGAGUCCUACGGGCGGGAGCAGUACGGGAUAUUGGUCAAUGGGCGCGAGCCUGAACCAGCCAAGUCGCGUGAAGGAUGACUGUCUUAGGGAUUGUAAACUUCUUUUAGACGGGAAUAACAGGAGUCACGUGUGACUCCCUGAAUGUACCGGAUGAAUAAGCAUCGGCUAACUACGUG